Molecule: non-coding RNA, 23 nt
Filed under: Arabidopsis thaliana (thale cress)
Lineage: Eukaryota; Viridiplantae; Streptophyta; Magnoliopsida; Brassicales; Brassicaceae
Source: RNAcentral
UGAUUAACAGGGACAGUCGGGGG